RNAcentral lists this ribosomal RNA (305 nucleotides) under uncultured bacterium. RNAcentral describes it as "bacterial SSU rRNA". It matches the Rfam family "Bacterial small subunit ribosomal RNA", at positions 337 to 640 of the family's 1533-position model. The record is from RNAcentral.
UCCUACGGGACGCAGCAGUGAGGAAUAUUGGUCAAUGGCCGAGAGGCUGAACCAGCCAAGUCGCGUGAGGGAAGAAUGUCCUAUGGAUUGUAAACCUCUUUUGUCAGGGAGCAAAGUCACCCACGUGUGGGUGUUGGAGAGUACCUGAAGAAAAAGCAUCGGCUAACUCCGUGCCAGCAGCCGCGGUAAUACGGAGGAUGCGAGCGUUAUCCGGAUUUAUUGGGUUUAAAGGGUGCGCAGGCGGUCUGUUAAGUCAGCGGUCAAAGCCCGGGGCUCAACCCCGGCCCGCCGUUGAAACUGGCAGU